RNAcentral lists this ribosomal RNA (227 nucleotides) under uncultured bacterium. RNAcentral describes it as "partial 16S ribosomal RNA". It matches the Rfam family "Bacterial small subunit ribosomal RNA", at positions 15 to 231 of the family's 1533-position model. The record is from RNAcentral.
GAUCAUGGCUCAGGAUGAACGCUAGCUACAGGCUUAACACAUGCAAGUCGAGGGGCGAGCGGGGAGUUGGAGCUUGCUUCAAUUGCCGGCGACCGGCGCACGGUGAGUAACGCGUAUCCAACCUUCCGUACACUCAGGGAUAGCCUUUCGAAAGAAAGAUUAAUACCUGAUGGUAUGAUGAGAUUGCAUGAUAGCAUCAUUAAAGAUUUAUCGGUGUACGAUGGGGA